UGGGGAAUAUUGGGCAAUGGGCGAAAGCCUGACCCAGCGGCGCCGCGUGAGGGAAGAAGGUCUUCGGAUUGUAAACCUUAGUUAUCGGGGAAGAAGAAAGUGACGGUACCCGAAGAGAAAGCCACGGCUAACUACGUGCCAGCAGCCGCGGUAAUACGUAGGUGGCAAGCGUUGUCCGGAUUUACUGGGUGUAAAGGGCGUGUAGGCGGAGCGGCAAGUCAGAUGUGAAAUCCCGGGGCUUAACCCCGGAACUGCAUUUGAAACUGUCGCCCUUGAGUAUCGGAGAGGCAGGCGGAAUUCCUAGUGUAGCGGUGAAAUGCGUAGAUAUUAGGAGGAACACCAGUGGCGAAGGCGGCCUGCUGGACAGUAACUGACGCUGAGGCGCGAAAGCGUGGGAGCAAACAGGAUUAGAUACCCUGGUAGU
RNAcentral lists this ribosomal RNA (424 nucleotides) under uncultured Oscillospiraceae bacterium. RNAcentral describes it as "bacterial SSU rRNA". It matches the Rfam family "Bacterial small subunit ribosomal RNA", at positions 355 to 794 of the family's 1533-position model. The record is from RNAcentral. Lineage: Bacteria; Bacillati; Bacillota; Clostridia; Eubacteriales; Oscillospiraceae.